Oncorhynchus tshawytscha (Chinook salmon) is the source of this 1586-nucleotide long non-coding RNA. Lineage: Eukaryota; Metazoa; Chordata; Actinopteri; Salmoniformes; Salmonidae. The record is from Ensembl.
AUGAUUAGUAGCUUGUGAACUGGUUAGUUGUCAAAAAGGGACAUUCUCCGAAAAGUACGAUCUUUGUCCCCAUGUGCAGUUUCAAACCGUAGUCUGGCUUUUUAAUAGCAGUUUUGGAGCAGUGGCUUCUUCCUUGCUGAGCAGCCUUUCAGGUUAUGUCGAUAUAGGACUCGAUUUACUGUGGAUAUAGAUACUUUUGUACCUCUGUCCUUCAGCAUCUUCACAAUGUCCUUUGCUGUUGUUCUGGGAUUGAUUUGCACUUUUUGCACCAAAGUACGUUCAUCUCUAGGAGACAGAACGCGUCUCCUUCCUGAGCGGUAUGAUGGCUGCAUGGUUCCAUGGUGUUUAUACUUGCGUACUAUUGUUUGUACAGAUGAAAGUGGUACCUUCAGGUGUUUGGAAAUUGCUCCCAAGGAUGAACCAGACAAUUUUUUUUCCGAGGUCUUGGGUGAUUUCUUUUGAUUUUUCCAUGAUGUCAAGUAAAGAGGUACUGAGUUUGAAGGUUUUGCGUACCCAAAGAAUUAUCUUGACACAAUCACACAGGACGAGACUGAGCAUCUAAGGCAGCAUUCAUCUGAUGAAGAGGAUUUCUUCUCAUCACUGACAAACAAUCAGUCAGAAGAAGUUGUCCCUCAAACUCAACACAGGCCUGCCUGCAUCUGCCGCCUGUGAACGUCUUUUCAGCUGUGCUGGAAUACUCUACACUGCAAAGCGGGCCAGGAUAGACUCAAUUAAAUUAGAAAAUCAGCUACUACUGAAACUGAAUGGCAACUUCAGAGAGAAGUGAAGUGAGUUAAGUGUUCGAUAGGUAGUUCCACAAAAAAUAUGCCUUUUGAACAUUCAUUUGAACCUUUGUGUAUGUAAAGUUGAAGAUUUAAUAUUAAAAUCAGCUGUGCUGGAUCUUAUCUUGUUGGUUAUUUUCUGGUGUUUUAUGGAACAUUUACCCUGUCAAGCAUUAUAUGUAAACAAUAUUACAUAUACAGUAGUAUCUAGAAAAGUAAAAAAUGUUGAUAUUCAUUUGUUUGUGAAGCUUGCAUUCAAUUGGCACACCCUUUUCACAUGAACUUCCAUUCUUGUAAAAGGAGAAAAAAAAUAAACAUCAAAAUUGAAAUAGCAAAUUAUUUUAGAAGUAGUAACAUUUACUCUUGAGUACUUUUUAAAUGUGCUACUUUUUACUUUUACUUUAGUAGUUUUUUUUUACACUUGUACUUUUACCUCUACUUGAUUACAAUUUCAUUAAAGUAACAGUAGUUCUACUUGAGUAGGAUUUUACAGGACUUGUCUGUACUUGGCUUCACGAUUGAUAUUUUUGACAACUUUUCACAACAUUCCUAAAGAAAAUGAUGUACUUUUUACUCCAUACAUUUUCCCUGACACCCAAAAGUACUCGUUACAUUUUGAAUACUUAGCAGGACAUUGCCUAAUUCACAUACAAAUCAAGAGAACAUCCCUGGGCAUCCCGACUGCCACUGAUCUGGCAGACUCACUAAACACAUGCUUUGUUUGUAAAUUAUGUCUGAGUGUUAUGUCGGAGCAGUCCCCUGGCUAUCCGUAAAUGUAAAAAAUAAAAAUAAAAUGAUGCCGUC